AGAGCGAACGCUGGCGGCAGGCCUAACACAUGCAAGUCGAGCGCCCCGCAAGGGGAGCGGCAGACGGGAGAGUAACACGUGGGAACGUACCCUUCAGUUCGGAACAACCCAGGGAAACUUGGGCUAAUACCGAAUACGUCCGUAAGGAGAAAGAUUUAUCGCUGAAGGAUCGGCCCGCGUCUGAUUAGCUUGUUGGUGAGGUAAUGGCUCACCAAGGCUACGAUCAGUAGCUGGUCUGAGAGGAUGAUCAGCCUCACUGGGACUGAGACACGGCCCAGACUCCUACGGGAGGCAGCAGUGGGGAAUAUUGCGCAAUGGGCGAAAGCCUGACGCAGCGACGCCGCGUGGGGGAUGAAGGCCUUCGGGUUGUAAACCCCUUUCAGCAGGGACGAAGCGAGAGUGACGGUACCUGCAGAAGAAGCGCCGGCUAGCUACGUGCCAGCAGCCGC
Molecule: ribosomal RNA, 449 nt
Filed under: uncultured bacterium
Lineage: Bacteria
Description: SSU rRNA
Rfam family: Bacterial small subunit ribosomal RNA
Source: RNAcentral